This 848-nucleotide ribosomal RNA is filed under the name Hexanchus griseus. RNAcentral's name for it is "partial 16S ribosomal RNA". The stretch from base 184 to 848 matches the Rfam family "Bacterial large subunit ribosomal RNA", at positions 568 to 1667 of the family's 2925-position model. Lineage: Eukaryota; Metazoa; Chordata; Chondrichthyes; Hexanchiformes; Hexanchidae. The record is from RNAcentral.
ACCUCAAAACUAGCCUAACCAAUUAUUAAACAUAACCCCAUUAAUUAAAUUCACACUCUUCCAAAAAUUAAAACAUUUUACAACUUUUAGUAUGGGUGACAGAACAAAGACCUAAGCGCAAUAGAUUUGAGUACCGCAAGGGAAAGUUGAAAAAGAAAUGAAAUAAAUAAUUAAAGUACAAAAAAGCAGAGAUUAAACCUCGUACCUUUUGCAUCAUGAUUUAGCUAGACCAACUAGGCAAAGAGACCUUAAGCCUAUCAUCCCGAAACUAGACGAGCUACUCCAGAGCAGCAUGAAAGAGCAAACCCAUCUCUGUGGCAAAAGAGUGGGAAGACUCCCGAGUAGCGGUGACAAACCUAUCGAGCCUAGUGAUAGCUGGUUACCCAAAAAAAGAACUUCAAUUCUGCAUUAACUUUUUUAAUGUCAACUAAGAACAUCUCCAAAAGACUGAACAUAAAAAUUAAUAGUUAUUCAAAAAAGGUACAACUUUUUUGAAUCAAGAUACAACUUUUCAAGGUGGGUAAUGAUCAUAUUUACCAAGGACCAUUCCAUCAGUGGGCCUAAAAGCAGCCAUCUGUAAAGCAAGCGUCAUAGCUCCAGCCCAUAAUGAAACCUAUAAUUUAGAUAUUAUUUCCAAACCCCCUUAACCAAUAUUGGGUUAUUUUAUAAGAUUAUAAAAGAACUUAUGCUAAAAUGAGUAAUAAGAGGCUAAACCUCUCCCAACACCAGUGUAUAUCAGAAAGAAUUAAAUCACUGAUAAUUAAACGACCUCAAACUGAGAAAAUUAUAGAAAUUUAUUAUUAACUAGAAAAACCUAUUUAAUUACUCGUUAAUCCUACACAGGAGUG